Molecule: ribosomal RNA, 305 nt
Filed under: uncultured bacterium
Lineage: Bacteria
Description: bacterial SSU rRNA
Rfam family: Bacterial small subunit ribosomal RNA
Source: RNAcentral
CGCCUACGGGACGCAGCAGUGGGGAAUAUUGGGCAAUGGGCGCAAGCCUGACCCAGCAACGCCGCGUGAAGGAAGAAGGCUUUCGGGUUGUAAACUUCUUUUAUGAGGGACGAAAGAAAUGACGGUACCUCAUGAAUAAGCCACGGCUAACUACGUGCCAGCAGCCGCGGUAAUACGUAGGGAGCAAGCGUUAUCCGGAUUUACUGGGUGUAAAGGGCGCGUAGGCGGGAUGGCAAGUCAGAUGUGAAAUCCAGGGGCUCAACCCCUGAACUGCAUUUGAAACUGUCGUUCUUGAGUACUGGAGA